GGCCGCGUGCUGCAGGGCGUGCGCGAUUCGGAAUCGCGCCUGAUGUUCAUCGGCUACAACCCGCUGUGGUUCAAGCUCUUCGUGUGGACGC
This 91-nucleotide transfer RNA is filed under the name Oxalicibacterium flavum. Its description in RNAcentral is "tRNA-Pro". The record is from RNAcentral. Lineage: Bacteria; Pseudomonadati; Pseudomonadota; Betaproteobacteria; Burkholderiales; Oxalobacteraceae.